Gossypium raimondii (Peruvian cotton) is the source of this 107-nucleotide non-coding RNA. Lineage: Eukaryota; Viridiplantae; Streptophyta; Magnoliopsida; Malvales; Malvaceae. The record is from Rfam.
AAUCCAUGAUGAGGACAUCUUCUCAAAAGAACUUUUAAUCUCUCCCAUGCAUCAUAUAAUGUCUCCAAAUCCAUUUGAGAAAAAGAAGAGAUAUCAUUCUUCAACUU